This 80-nucleotide transfer RNA is filed under the name Spirochaetaceae bacterium. RNAcentral's name for it is "tRNA-Leu". It matches the Rfam family "tRNA". From Rfam's summary of the family: Transfer RNA (tRNA) molecules are approximately 80 nucleotides in length. Their secondary structure includes four short double-helical elements and three loops (D, anti-codon, and T loops). Further hydrogen bonds mediate the characteristic L-shaped molecular structure. tRNAs have two regions of fundamental functional importance: the anti-codon, which is responsible for specific mRNA codon recognition, and the 3' end, to which the tRNAs corresponding amino acid is attached (by aminoacyl-tRNA synthetases). tRNAs cope with the degeneracy of the genetic code in two manners: having more than one tRNA (with a specific anti-codon) for a particular amino acid; and 'wobble' base-pairing, i.e. permitting non-standard base-pairing at the 3rd anti-codon position. Lineage: Bacteria; Pseudomonadati; Spirochaetota; Spirochaetia; Spirochaetales; Spirochaetaceae. The record is from RNAcentral.
GCGAGAGUGGUGAAAUUGGCAGACACGCCAGCCUUAGGAGCUGGUGCUCACGCGUAAGGGUUCGAGUCCCUUCUCUCGCA